This 404-nucleotide ribosomal RNA is filed under the name Actinomycetes bacterium. RNAcentral describes it as "Actinobacteria bacterium partial 16S ribosomal RNA". It matches the Rfam family "Bacterial small subunit ribosomal RNA", at positions 355 to 776 of the family's 1533-position model. Lineage: Bacteria; Bacillati; Actinomycetota; Actinomycetes. The record is from RNAcentral.
UGGGGAAUAUUGGACAAUGGGCGCAAGCCUGAUCCAGCCAUGCCGCGUGAGUGAUGAAGGCCCUAGGGUUGUAAAGCUCUUUCACCGGUGAAGAUAAUGACGGUAACCGGAGAAGAAGCCCCGGCUCACUUCGUGCCAGCAGCCGCGGUAUUACGAAGGGGGCUAGCGUUGUUCGGAUUUACUGGGCGUAAAGCGCACGUAGGCGGACUUUUAAGUCAGGGGUGAAAUCCCGGGGCUCAACCCCAGAACUGCCUUUGAUACUGGAAGUCUUGAGUAUGGUAGAGGUGAGUCGAAUUCCGAGUGUAGAGGUGAAAUACGUAGAUAUACGGAGGAACACCAGUGGCGAAAGCGGCUCACUGGACCAUUACUGACGCUGAGGUGCGAAAGCGUGGGGAGCAAACAGG